Long non-coding RNA from Mytilus californianus (California mussel), 1261 nucleotides. RefSeq lists it as uncharacterized. The record is from RefSeq and is a predicted model, not a curated record. NCBI's taxonomy places the organism in Eukaryota, Metazoa, Mollusca, Bivalvia, Mytilida, Mytilidae. The transcript is spliced from 3 exons.
UUUUAACUGUUUUUUGACACGUGCUAAAAAAUGCAGCACCUGGUUACAAGGGCUUAUUUGACAAAUUAUCAUCUUUCGUAAUUUAAGUUAUAAAAUCUAAAUUUUAAGUGAUCUAAAAUGUUCAUGACAAACGAGUAUUUUCACUUGUACGAUUUUUCUGUGAAAUGAGUCUAAGAGUAUAUACAUGUAUAUCAGGAUACUGACUGCAUAGUAAAAUAUUUAUGUACCAUUACAGUUGCGACUCAUUUUGGUCUUUUAAGUAAGUUUCCUUCCCCUGCAUUACUUGAUCGCUUUUGUAAAAAAUAAACAGCACAACAACAACAGCUCUCGACGUCAGUAUUGUACCAAAAAAUGAAAAAAAUAUUCAAAAAGAAGGCUCAUAAAAUUCAAAUAUUGGACAAGAACUAUAGAAGAUGCAGAGAAAUUAUAAACAGCAGAAAUGAUAGGCAAUUUAAAAUUUGCAGAAGUCAACAAAACCUAAAUGGUGAUCAGACAUCUUGGUUUUUAUGAUCAAUAGGUCAAUACUGAAGAGGAAACUGAAAGUUGAUAUCUAUCUACAUGGUGCGCUAAUUGGAUUAAUGUGAAAUGGAAUGUGUGCUUUCCUUCAAAAAAGAAAUAGGAAAUUUCAUCAUAAUCGCAUGAUAAUGGCUAUAAACAAAAUGGAGUUCUAUCAUAGAUGCAGAAAAACACAAUUGUAUAAAUGCAACAACAUAUUAUAUAUAUUCGUCGAAAGAAGGGAGAAAUGAAGAAAAAAAUAGUAUUUUGUUGUUGAAAGGAACACCAGCUUUAUCCACUCAUUUACAUCUCUCCCUCAUAUCAAAUAUACUGAAGAAGAUCUUCGAAGAACAAAUUGCAAAAAUGUUUUCUCUAAGAAUUGAAGGAAAUUGUUUAGUGAAUGGAAUAAUUUAUGUUAUGAACUUUUACGUAGUGAAUUGAAUAACUGUACACAGCAGCUGAAACAGAGGAAAAUUAAAAUUUACAAGAAAAGUGUUUAUUUUAUUAUUUAAUUUGCAAAUAUGAACGCAUUCUUAAGAACUCCACAAAUGGUAUGACAUUCAAAUUGGUUGCCUAUUAAUGUAUACAAUUGAAACAAUUACAAAGAAAACAGAAUACUUUGCUACAAGAAAUAUUUUAAAAAUCAAAGUUAAAGUCAUAUAAAGUAUGUACAAUACCUUGACCUAAACAGUCAGACUCACUAUAUUGAUUUUGUAUGUCAUGAUAAUUUUGAGUCAAAAAUUUAUUAAAGUUUAAAUAUCAUUUG